RNAcentral lists this long non-coding RNA (1334 nucleotides) under Triticum aestivum (bread wheat). RNAcentral's name for it is "long non-coding RNA (TAES_LNC006543)". The record is from RNAcentral. Lineage: Eukaryota; Viridiplantae; Streptophyta; Magnoliopsida; Poales; Poaceae.
AGAUUAUGUUUCAAAUAAGUGCUUCAUAAUAAAAUUUCAUGAAUUAUCGUAGGCUCAAAUUUUUUCGACAUGGCUUCCACUAACUCGUGCCUCCUUUAAGUUGAACCUGCAUAAAAAGUAGAGCCGAGGAAGAUUAGAGGCAUGACUAUUGUUAGUUGACCAAACCGAAAGACCUAAUAAAAACUAUGCUAUGAAAAAACUCAUCUCAGUAAACACAAUAUAACUCUAUAGGCACGAAAAAAAGAGGCAAAACAAUAUCAAGAGUAGAUUGAAAGAACAUGCAUGAUAUGAUGGCAUCUACUGGGACAGCAAUUAAUAAAACUAAAAUAUGGCAAUGUAACUAAUAAACACUAUCAAGUUUCCAAAAGGAUGUCUUUUAUCCAAAGAUUACCGUCAAAUUAAAUUAAAAUUACAGCACCUUAUUCAAUUCAUAUUCAAGCACCAUGAACAAUAGCAUCCAUGGAGUUCAUUUCUAAACUAUACACUUAUUCAGCAAGCACUUCUAACUUCAGGAUGGGUGUUUACUGUAUUUUUUUCAGAGAUGUACAAAUAUAUUAACUUGUUAACUCGACAAGAAGAUGUAUAAGCUAGCAGUUAGUGUUCUCAGAAAAUGAGCAGGCGGGAAAUAGUAUACGACACUUUAGUGGCUCAGACCAACGCUACAUCUACAGACUAUUUGCGAAGGAAAAAGAAACUGAAUGUGUCUUGAAUAAACCAUAAGUAUUCACAGAUGUACUAACAAAGCACGGUCACUUUGUGGCAUCAGAACCAUUCGGUCAAAUCUUGUAUAUGAAAAAUGCAUUGUAUACUAAGAUAAUAGACUAUCGAUACUGACAAAACAGGGCGAUGAGAAGUGAUUUACCUGUGCUCUGUAUCCAUAGAAUCACACUAACAACUAUCCAUCAAAGUUCUAGCCUCUGGAAAACACAACAAAAAUGAAACCACUGCUAUAAAUUGCUGGAACCGUAGCCUAAACAAAUAGAAAAUCUGCGUGCUCGAAAAACUCUAGAACUGACAUUGAAAUUUAGACACUGGAAGCAACUCGAAGAUGCCAACUUACAUCUUCUCACAAUCUUUCAGUUUGCUAACUCUGCAUGGUCAAGUUAGAACUCUCAAGGUUCAGGUUAGAUCAACUCAAGAAACUCAUUAAAAAAAAGAAUGACAACACAUAUUCUAGCCUGAAAUAAACUUCAUGGUGUUUAGAGUGAAACAGAGCAGCUGGAACGGCAAAGAUGCGCAGCGACGAACACACACGUGCGCGCGCGCACACACGCACACACAAAUAGGGAGACUAUGCCAUUCAAACUCCUACAAAAAACUCUUGAAAUAACUAC